RNAcentral lists this ribosomal RNA (193 nucleotides) under uncultured Clostridium sp. Its description in RNAcentral is "partial 16S ribosomal RNA". It matches the Rfam family "Bacterial small subunit ribosomal RNA", at positions 338 to 524 of the family's 1533-position model. The record is from RNAcentral. Lineage: Bacteria; Bacillati; Bacillota; Clostridia; Eubacteriales; Clostridiaceae.
CCUACGGGAGGCAGCAGUGGGGAAUUGUUCGCAAUGGGCGCAAGCCUGAUCCAGCCACGCCGCGUGAGUGAUGAAGGCCUUCGGGUCGUAAAGCUCUGUGGGGAGGGACGAACCGCCGCUGGUUAAUAGCCAGCGGCAUGACGGUACCUCCUUAGCAAGCACCGGCUAACUUCGUGCCAGCAGCCGCGGUAAU